RNAcentral lists this ribosomal RNA (1103 nucleotides) under uncultured archaeon. RNAcentral describes it as "bacterial SSU rRNA". It matches the Rfam family "Archaeal small subunit ribosomal RNA", at positions 21 to 1121 of the family's 1478-position model. The record is from RNAcentral.
AGGUCACUGCUAUCAGUGUUCGACUAAGCCAUGCAAGUCAAAUGUUCUUCGUGAACAUGGCGGACUGCUCAGUAACACGUGGAUAACCUGCCCUUAGGAUUGGCAUAACACCGGGAAACUGGUGAUAAUACCGAAUAGACCAUUUAUGCUGGAAUGCUUAUUGGUUCAAAGGCUUUUAGCUGCCUAAGGAUGGAUCUGCGGCCUAUCAGGUAGUAGUGGGUGUAAUGUACCUACUAGCCUACGACGGGUACGGGUUGUGAGAGCAAGAGCCCGGAGAUGGAUUCUGAGACAUGAAUCCAGGCCCUACGGGGCGCAGCAGGCGCGAAAACUUUACAAUGCGGGAAACCGCGAUAAGGGGACACUGAGUGCCAGCAUAUUAUGUUGGCUGUCCACAUGUAUAAAAACCAUGUGUUAGCAAGGGCCGGGCAAGACCGGUGCCAGCCGCCGCGGUAAUACCGGCGGCCCGAGUGGUGAUCACUUUUAUUGGGUCUAAAGGGUCCGUAGCCGGUUUGACCAGUCCUCCGGGAAAUCUGACAGCUCAACUGUUAGGCUUCGGGGAUACUGUCAGACUUGGGACCGGGAGAGGUAAGAGGUACUACAGGGGUAGGAGUGAAAUCUUGUAAUCCCUGUGGGACCACCAGUGGCGAAGGCGUCUUACCAGAACGGGUCCGACGGUGAGGGACGAAAGCUGGGGGCACGAACCGGAUUAGAUACCCGGGUAGUCCCAGCCGUAAACGAUGCUCGCUAUGUGUCAGGGACGGUGCGACCGUUCCUGGUGCCGCAGGGAAGCCGUGAAGCGAGCCACCUGGGAAGUACGGCCGCAAGGCUGAAACUUAAAGGAAUUGGCGGGGGAGCACUACAACGGGUGGAGCCUGCGGUUUAAUUGGACUCAACGCCGGAAAACUCACCGGGGGCGACAGCAAUAUGUAGGUCAGGCUAAAGACCUUACCCGAAUCGCUGAGAGGAGGUGCAUGGCCCGUCGUCAGUUCGUACUGUGAAGCAUCCUGUUAAGUCAGGCAACGAGCGAGACCCGUGCCCACUGUUGCCAGCAUGUCCUUACCAGGAUGAUGGGGUACUCUGUGGGGACCGCCGCUGUUAAAGCG